AGCCAAAGCAGACGUCUUUCCUCAGCCCAAAAUGAUGGCCCUGAAAAUGCAGACUGCAGAACUUGGCGUGGGAGCAGGCGGUGCUGUCCUGGGGUUGCCAGAUGGUGUGCACUCACAUGGACAUAGCAUGUGGGCUCUGCCGGAUGGACGAGGCUGAGACCCAUGAGUCAGAUACAGCAUCUGUCACCUCAGCAGCCCGGGGCACCGAGGACACAGGAAGUGAGUGGUCAGAGUAUCUCAUCUUUGUGUUUUAAUUUGGAUCUCAUGGAUGGCCAAUGCACCCACACUAUUACUCAUUACUUCCAGACCAGUGUGAAUCUUUUCCUGAGUUUUGCUGCAAUAUCUGCAUUUGCUUCCAAGUAAGUAUUUGGGAAACCAUUUUCCAAAUUGGUCUUAUCUGUAACCAGAAUUUCUGAGGUUUCUAAAGACUCUAACAGCAUAAUAAAAAUCAAACAACUGAGCUUGUGUGUGGGAUGAGAUAAAAAUGUUUGGGC
RNAcentral lists this long non-coding RNA (494 nucleotides) under Macaca mulatta (Rhesus monkey). Its description in RNAcentral is "lncRNA (ENSMMUG00000047731.2)". The record is from RNAcentral. Lineage: Eukaryota; Metazoa; Chordata; Mammalia; Primates; Cercopithecidae.